UACGAAGGGGGCUAGCGUUGCUCGGAAUCACUGGGCGUAAAGGGUGCGUAGGCGGGUCUUUUAAGUCAGGGGUGAAAUCCUGGAGCUCAACUCCAGAACUGCCUUUGAUACUGGGAGGCUCGAGUCCGGGAGAGGUGAGUGGAACUGCGAGUGUAGAGGUGUAAUUCGUAGAUAUUCGCAAGAACACCAGUGGCGAAGGCGGCUCACUGGCCCGGUACUGACGCUGAGGUGCGAAAGCGUGGGGAGCCAAACA
Molecule: ribosomal RNA, 253 nt
Filed under: uncultured bacterium
Lineage: Bacteria
Description: partial 16S ribosomal RNA
Rfam family: Bacterial small subunit ribosomal RNA
Source: RNAcentral